GCUUGAGGGUGCUCACUUGGAAUUUCUGUGACCAGGAAGGCUGAGGCUGGUGGACCUCUUCAGGGCUGGAGUGCUGAACUGCAGUGGCCUACACUGAUCAGGUGUCUUCACUAAGUUCAAGGUAAAUAUGGUGAGGCCCCUAGGAAGGGGGGUGGGGCACCAGGUUGCCCAAGAAAGGGCAAAUCAGCCCAGGCCAAAAACAGGACAGGUCAAAGCUCUCAUGCUGAUCAGUAGGGGGAUCAGACUUAUGGGUAACCCCUGCACUUCCAUCCUCGGUGAAAUGGGAAGGCCUGGUCUUU
Molecule: small RNA, 299 nt
Filed under: Phascolarctos cinereus (koala)
Lineage: Eukaryota; Metazoa; Chordata; Mammalia; Diprotodontia; Phascolarctidae
Description: Metazoan signal recognition particle RNA (ENSPCIG00000018158.2)
Rfam family: Metazoan signal recognition particle RNA
About the family: The signal recognition particle (SRP) is a universally conserved ribonucleoprotein. It is involved in the co-translational targeting of proteins to membranes.
Source: RNAcentral